RNAcentral lists this ribosomal RNA (306 nucleotides) under Triticum aestivum (bread wheat). RNAcentral describes it as "partial small subunit ribosomal RNA". Lineage: Eukaryota; Viridiplantae; Streptophyta; Magnoliopsida; Poales; Poaceae. The record is from RNAcentral.
AUGGAUCAGUCAAAGAAAGGGUUCUUGCCUAUGUUACAAGGUGUGAAGUUGAGUCAGACUCAAUGCCCGACCACUGCAGAAGAUAGAGAGAAAAUGAAAGUCAUUUCCUAUGCUUCAGCCAUAGGUUCUAUCAUGUAUGCAAUGUUGUGUACCAGACCUGAUGUGUGCCUUGCUAUAAGUAUAGCAGGGAGGUACCAAAGUAAUCCCGGAGUGGAGCACUGGACAACGGUCAAGAACAUCCUGAAAUACCUGAAAAGGACUAAGGAUAUGUUUCUCGUUUAUGGGGUGACAAAGAGCUUGUCAUAA